AGGGUCUUUAAUUUAUAUCUUUCCAUAAAAAAUAUACAUAUAUUUAUUAUUCUUUAUAUUUUCUGUCCAUUAUACUAUAUCCUUUAUAUUUAGAAACCCAUUAUUCUCCUUUAUUUAUCAUUUUGCUUAUUUUUCUCUAUUCUGUAUUUUGUUGCCUUUAACUUGCACUUGUUUCCCUAUUAUUUUCCAUUAUUUUGUCUAUUAUUUUUCUAUUCUUUAUUUUGUUGCCCUGUAAAAUGCACCCUUCCCUCCACAUUAUUCUCUAUUCUGGAAACCAAAAUCCCAGACCCUAUCUUAUUCUUUGAAAUCAUAACAAUCAGGUCAAAAAACGCAUUUACACUUUACGAUUUUUCAAUGUCAGAAUGUCUUUUAAACUCCAUGUUCAAAUUGUAAAUCAUCCUACUUAGUAAAUAAUACAUUGAUAUAGCAGUUCUUUAAGUGAAUCGAUAAACUAUAGGUCC
RNAcentral lists this long non-coding RNA (461 nucleotides) under Mytilus galloprovincialis (Mediterranean mussel). The record is from RNAcentral. Lineage: Eukaryota; Metazoa; Mollusca; Bivalvia; Mytilida; Mytilidae.